This 54-nucleotide transfer RNA is filed under the name Phlogophilus hemileucurus. RNAcentral describes it as "tRNA-Ser". Lineage: Eukaryota; Metazoa; Chordata; Aves; Apodiformes; Trochilidae. The record is from RNAcentral.
AACCAGCAAGAACUGCUAAUUCUCGCAUCUGAGACUAAAACCUCAGUCCCCUUA